Molecule: long non-coding RNA, 602 nt
Filed under: Mus musculus (house mouse)
Lineage: Eukaryota; Metazoa; Chordata; Mammalia; Rodentia; Muridae
Description: predicted gene, 57043
Source: RNAcentral
GUCUCUGAUCAGCUUCUGCUCCAGGAAGUCCUGUGCCCCUGCACCUCGGCUCCCUAUGCCUCUUUGGGCCUAGCUUAUGCCUGCUGCUCCCGUGGAUUCUUUCUCUUUCUUGAUGGCCCUUUACUUAACUCUGUAAUUGCAUCUCCACCUCUGUAAGGCUCUGGGAGAAAAUGCUGCUCAGAACAGGAUGGUGCUGAGCAUCCCAAAAGCCCUCAUCCCUGGGGAGAUUGCCUCUGAAGAGCACAGAACAUUUCAAUCAAGGCCAGUUCAGCAAAAUGUCUCUGGCCAAUCUUCCCAGUGGAUUGAGGCCACGGACAGCCACCUCUUCGGGUCUCUGGCAAAGUCCCUUCCCAGGAGAGGAGAUGGAACAAGGCAUUUCAGCUUCAUUUACACUUAAUUCGUCAAAAUGUCAUUGCUGUGUACUGCUUGCUGAGCAACAGUUUCAUCUGGCCUUGAGGACUGAAGCACCUGCUGCAGUACAGAGCCACGAGUGGCUGUUGCUCUAACACUCUGUCUGACGUGUGUUUGUUCCCAUUCUGCCGGGUAAUCUCUACCCUUUCCUCAUGCUUCCUUGGAAUUACACUCUUGGAAAUUAGCAGUAA